CGGGACGGGGUGGAGUAAUGUCUGGGAAACGUGCCUGAUGGAGGGGGGUAACUACUGGAAACGGUAGCUAAUACCGCAUAACGUCGCAAGACCAAAGAGGGGGACCGUUAGGGCCUCUUGCCAUCGGAUGUGCCCAGAUGGGAUUAGCUAGUAGGUGGGGUAACGGCUCACCUAGGCGACGAUCCCUAGCUGGUCUGAGAGGAUGACCAGCCACACUGGAACUGAGACACGGUCCAG
This 237-nucleotide ribosomal RNA is filed under the name uncultured bacterium. Its description in RNAcentral is "partial 16S ribosomal RNA". It matches the Rfam family "Bacterial small subunit ribosomal RNA", at positions 104 to 334 of the family's 1533-position model. The record is from RNAcentral.